This 460-nucleotide ribosomal RNA is filed under the name uncultured bacterium. RNAcentral's name for it is "partial 16S ribosomal RNA". It matches the Rfam family "Bacterial small subunit ribosomal RNA", at positions 338 to 795 of the family's 1533-position model. The record is from RNAcentral.
CCUACGGGAGGCAGCAGUGGGGAAUCUUGGGCAAUGGACGAGAGUCUGAACCAGCAAAGUAGCGUGAAUGAUGACUGCCCUAUGAGUGGUAAACUUCUUUUAUAAAGGAAUAAAACGAUGCAAGUGUGCCUUUUUGCAUUGACUUUAUGAAUUAGGAACGGCUAACUUCGCGCCAGCAGCCGCGGUAAUACGGAGGAUCCGAGGGUUGUCCGGAUUUAUUGGGUUUAAAGCGAGCGUAGAUGGGUUGUUAAGUUAGUUGUGAAAGGUUGCGGCUCAACCGUAAAAUUGCAAUUGAUACUGGCAGUCUUGAGUACAGUUGAGGUAAGCGGAAUUCGUGGUGUAGCGGUGAAAUGCUUAGAUAUCACGAAGAACCCCGAUUGCGAAGGCAGCUUACUAGUCUGUAACUGACAUUGAUGCUCGAAAGUGUGGGUAUCAAACAGGAUUAGAUACCCUUGUAGUC